RNAcentral lists this ribosomal RNA (229 nucleotides) under uncultured bacterium. RNAcentral's name for it is "partial 16S ribosomal RNA". It matches the Rfam family "Bacterial small subunit ribosomal RNA", at positions 104 to 334 of the family's 1533-position model. The record is from RNAcentral.
CGGGGUGAGUAAUGUCUGGGAAACUGCCUGAUGGAGGGGGAUAACUGCUGGAAACGGUAGCUAAUACCGCAUAACGUCGCAAGACCAAAGAGGGGGACCUUCGGGCCUCUUGCCAUCGGAUGUGCCCAGAUGGGAUUAGCUAGUAGGUGGGGUAACGGCUCACCUAGGCGACGAUCCCUAGCUAGUCUGAGAGGAUGACCAGCCACACUGGAACUGAGACACGGUCCAG